GGAGUGGGUCAAGGCAAUCGCUGCUUGCGCAAGCAAGGGGAGGAAAGUCCGGGCUCCACAGGGCAGGGUGCCAGGUAACGCCUGGGAGGCGCGAGCCUACGACUAGUGCAACAGAGAGCAAACCGCCGAUGGCUCAGUCUUUCUUCGGAAAGCCUGAGAUCAGGUAAGGGUGAAAGGGUGCGGUAAGAGCGCACCGCGCGACUGGCAACAGUUCGUGGCACGGUAAACUCCACCCGGAGCAAGAUCAAAUAGGCCCUCUAUGGCGCGGCCCGCGUUGAGGGCGGGUAGAUUGCUUGAGGCUUAGGGUGACCUAAGUCCUAGAGGAAUGAUUGCUACUCUGGCAACAGAGCACAAAACCCGGCUUAAUGACCGACUCCCCUA
This 381-nucleotide RNase P RNA is filed under the name Alishewanella sp. RNAcentral's name for it is "RNase P RNA component class A". It matches the Rfam family "Bacterial RNase P class A". Rfam says of the family: Ribonuclease P (RNase P) is a ubiquitous endoribonuclease, found in archaea, bacteria and eukarya as well as chloroplasts and mitochondria. Its best characterised activity is the generation of mature 5'-ends of tRNAs by cleaving the 5'-leader elements of precursor-tRNAs. Cellular RNase Ps are ribonucleoproteins. RNAcentral also lists the same sequence under 5 other names. The record is from RNAcentral. Lineage: Bacteria; Pseudomonadati; Pseudomonadota; Gammaproteobacteria; Alteromonadales; Alteromonadaceae.